GUGAGGAAUAUUGGACAAUGGGCGCAAGCCUGAUCCAGCCAUGCCGCGUGAAGGAAGAAGGAUCUAUGGUUCGUAAACUUCUUUUUUAGGGGAAUAAAGUGCGGUACGUGUACCGUUUUGUAUGUACCCUACGAAUAAGGAUCGGCUAACUCCGUGCCAGCAGCCGCGGUAAUACGGAGGAUCCGAGCGUUAUCCGGAUUUAUUGGGUUUAAAGGGUGCGUAGGCGGAAGAAUAAGUCAGUGGUGAAAGUUUGCAGCUCAACUGUAAAAUUGCCGUUGAAACUGUUUUUCUUGAGUGUAAAUGAGGUAGGCGGAAUGUGUUGUGUAGCGGUGAAAUGCUUAGAUAUGACACAGAACACCGAUUGCGAAGGCAGCUUACUAAGAUACAACUGACGCUGAGGCACGAAAGCGUGGGGAUCGAACAGGAUUAGAUACCCUAGUAGUCC
This 445-nucleotide ribosomal RNA is filed under the name uncultured bacterium. RNAcentral describes it as "partial 16S ribosomal RNA". It matches the Rfam family "Bacterial small subunit ribosomal RNA", at positions 354 to 796 of the family's 1533-position model. The record is from RNAcentral.